AUGAGAGGGAGAGAGAGAAGAGGUGGUGUAGCAGGGCCGGACCGCCGUCCUCUUCCACUCCAUCAACAGGCUUUCUCAACAGCAGGCUGCACCACCGCUCGAAAGCCACCGGUCUUCUUCCACUCCAUCAAUACAAUUUCAGCGGCAGGGAGUGCUUGCCAUAGUGGAAACGAAGCAAGAACUGGAUGGAGCUCAGGAUUUUGCUACUACCUUGCUAAUAGCUUUGUGAGGCAUGUCACCGAUGGCAAGUGCAAGAAGAAAGCACCAAGGAAAAUCCACAAAUCCAAGAGGCAGAAGCAUAAGCGCGUCCUGCUCAAUGAUCUCUUGGGUGAACUUAUCAAAAUGCUAGGUGAGUUAAAUAGGUGUGCAUCAAUCACUAGCCCCCUCGACACCUUAUAG
Molecule: ribosomal RNA, 399 nt
Filed under: Triticum aestivum (bread wheat)
Lineage: Eukaryota; Viridiplantae; Streptophyta; Magnoliopsida; Poales; Poaceae
Description: partial small subunit ribosomal RNA
Source: RNAcentral